AGUCAAUAGAUACCCAGGUAGUCCACGCCCUAAACGAUGUCUACUAGUUGUUGGUGGAGUAAAAUCCAUGAGUAAACGCAGCUAACGCGUGAAGUAGACCGCCUGGGGAGUACGGUCGCAAGAUUAAAACUCAAAGGAACUGACGGGGGCCCGCACAAGCGGUGGAUUAUGUGGAUUAAUUCGAUGCAACGCGAAAAACCUUACCUGGCCUUGACAUGCCACUAACGAAGCAGAGAUGCAUUAGGUGCCCGUAAGGGAAAGUGGACACAGGUGCUGCAUGGCUGUCGUCAGCUCGUGUCGUGAGAUGUUGGGUUAAGUCCCGCAACGAGCGCAACCCUUGCCAUUAAUUGCCAUCAUUUAGUUGGGCACUUUAAUGGGACUGCCGGUGACAAACCGGAGGAAGGUGGGGAUGACGUCAAGUCCUCAUGGCCCUUAUGGCCAGGGCUUCACACGUAAUACAAUGGUCGGUACAGAGAGUUGCCAACCCGCGAGGGGAGCUAAUCUCAGAAAGCCGAUCGUAGUCCGGAUUGUUCUCU
This 536-nucleotide ribosomal RNA is filed under the name uncultured bacterium. RNAcentral's name for it is "bacterial SSU rRNA". It matches the Rfam family "Bacterial small subunit ribosomal RNA", at positions 775 to 1306 of the family's 1533-position model. The record is from RNAcentral.